Molecule: ribosomal RNA, 462 nt
Filed under: uncultured bacterium
Lineage: Bacteria
Description: bacterial SSU rRNA
Rfam family: Bacterial small subunit ribosomal RNA
Source: RNAcentral
AACGAACGCUGGCGGCGUGGAUAAGACAUGCAAGUCGAACGCUCGUUUCGGGGUAGCAAUAUUCCGGAGCGGGAGUGGCGCAAGGGUGCGUAACACGUGGGUCAUUUGCCGUGAAGCUGGGAACAACUCGUUGAAAGACGAGCUAAUACCCAAUGUGCUCCGCAAGGAGUAAAGCCGGGGACCGCAAGGCCUGGCACUUCACGAUAAGCCCGCGGCCUAUCAGCUAGUUGGCGGGGUAAAAGCCCACCAAGGCUAAGACGGGUAGCUGGUCUGAGAGGACGACCAGCCACACUGGAACUGAGACACGGUCCAGACACCUACGGGUGGCAGCAGUCGAGAAUUUUUCACAAUGGCGGAAAGCCUGAUGGAGCGACGCCGCGUGGGGGAGUGAAGGGACGUUCGGCUCGUAAACCCCUGUCAUUCGCGAACAAAAGGUGCGGCCUAACCAUAGCCGUCGCCUGA